UACCCCCUGGGGGACAUCUAAUAAAAUUGGAAUGAUACAGAGAAGAUUAGCAUGGCCUGUCCACAAGGAUGUUCAAUCAAAAAGAGAAUAAAGAAACUCUC
This is a small nuclear RNA of Elaeis guineensis (African oil palm), 101 nucleotides long. Lineage: Eukaryota; Viridiplantae; Streptophyta; Magnoliopsida; Arecales; Arecaceae. The record is from RefSeq and is a predicted model, not a curated record.